This 119-nucleotide small RNA is filed under the name Salmonella enterica subsp. enterica serovar Hadar. RNAcentral describes it as "RtT RNA". It matches the Rfam family "RtT RNA". Rfam says of the family: This family represents a bacterial cis-regulatory element known as RtT RNA. The exact function of RtT is unknown although it is thought that it may be involved in changing the cellular response in relation to amino acid starvation. The record is from RNAcentral. Lineage: Bacteria; Pseudomonadati; Pseudomonadota; Gammaproteobacteria; Enterobacterales; Enterobacteriaceae.
GUAUCUGAAGUCUGACGAGGAUGAGAACCUCCGGGGGCAAGAGGUUCGACUUGAGCGAAGCGAGAGAACGUUGCGUCAGCAACGGCCCGCAGUGGCAAGUCAUCCUCUGUCACCGGCAG